Molecule: ribosomal RNA, 486 nt
Filed under: uncultured bacterium
Lineage: Bacteria
Description: partial 16S ribosomal RNA
Rfam family: Bacterial small subunit ribosomal RNA
Source: RNAcentral
AUUGAACGCUGGCGGCAUGCCUUACACAUGCAAGUCGAACGGCAGCACGGGUGCUUGCACCUGGUGGCGAGUGGCGAACGGGUGAGUAAUACAUCGGAACAUGUCCUGUAGUGGGGGAUAGCCCGGCGAAAGCCGGAUUAAUACCGCAUACGAUCUACGGAUGAAAGCGGGGGACCUUCGGGCCUCGCGCUUUAGGGUUGGCCGAUGGCGGAUUAGCUAGUUGGUGGGGUAAAGGCCUACCAAGGCGACGAUCAGUAGCUGGUCUGAGAGGACGACCAGCCACACUGGGACUGAGACACGGCCCAGACUCCUACGGGAGGCAGCAGUGGGGAAUUUUGGACAAUGGGCGAAAGCCUGAUCCAGCAAUGCCGCGUGUGUGAAGAAGGCCUUCGGGUUGUAAAGCACUUUUGUCCGGAAAGAAAUCCUUGGCCCUAAUACGGUCGGGGGAUGACGGUACCGGAAGAAUAAGCACCGGCUAACUACGUG